This 687-nucleotide ribosomal RNA is filed under the name uncultured bacterium. Its description in RNAcentral is "bacterial SSU rRNA". It matches the Rfam family "Bacterial small subunit ribosomal RNA", at positions 28 to 707 of the family's 1533-position model. The record is from RNAcentral.
AUCCGCCGCUGCCGGCGCGUCUAAGCAUGCAGUCGAACGGUAGCAGGGCUUCGGCCCUGUGAGAGUGGCGAACGGGUGAGUAACACGUAGGUAAUGUGCCCUGAAGUUGGGAAUAGCUCAUGGAAACAUGGGGUAAUACCGAAUAUUCUCUGCGGUUUUUUGCAGCAGAGGAAAGAGGCUUUCGGGCCUCGCUUUGGGAUCAGCCUGCGGCUUAUUAGCUUGUUGGUGGGGUAACGGCUCACCAAGGUGAUGAUAAGUAGCCGGCCUGAGAGGGUGAUCGGCCACAUUGGGACUGAGAUACGGCCCAGACUCCUACGGGAGGCAGCAGCUAAGAAUCUUCCGCAAUGGGCGCAAGCCUGACGGAGCGACGCCGCGUGCAUGAUGAAGGCAGAGAUGUUGUAAAGUGCUUUAUGGGUGAGGAAUAACGAAGGCAGGAAAUGGCCUUUGGAUGACGUGAACCCAUGAAUAAGCUCCGGCUAAUUACGUGCCAGCAGCCGCGGUAAUACGUAAGGAGCGAGCGUUGUUCGGAAUUAUUGGGCGUAAAGUGCGUGCAGGCUGUCUGUUAAGUCUGAUGUAAAAUCAUGCAGCUCAACUGCAUUGUCGCGUUGGAAACUGGCAGGCUCGAAUUCGAGAGAGGAAAUUGGAAUUCCUGGUGUAGGGGUGGAAUCUGUUGAUAUCAGGAAGAAC